RNAcentral lists this ribosomal RNA (497 nucleotides) under uncultured bacterium. RNAcentral describes it as "partial 16S ribosomal RNA". It matches the Rfam family "Bacterial small subunit ribosomal RNA", at positions 28 to 507 of the family's 1533-position model. The record is from RNAcentral.
GAUGAACGCUGGCGGCGUGCUUAAUACAUGCAAGUCGAGCGGACAGACGAAGCUCUUUCUCUACUCACGUUACCGACGGAUGGGUAAGAAACACGUGGACAACCCACCUAUCUGACUUAAAUCUCUGCGGGUAACCGGAAUAACUACCGUAACAUAUCUUCACACGCAUUGUUCUGUAGUGAUUUACCGGUUUGCUGUCACUUCUCGACCUAUCCGCGCCGCAUUAGAUAGUUGGUAGGGUAACGGCUUACCAAGGGAACGAUGGGUAGCCGAGCUGGGAGAGGGAUAGGCGACAUGGGAACGGAGACAGGGUCCAGGCGCCUGCGGGAGGCAGCAGUAGGGAACCGGAGGCAAUGGGCGAAAGCCUGACGGAGCGACGCCGCGUGAGUGAUGAAGGUGUUCGGAUCGUAAAACUCUGUUAUUAGGGAAGAACAAAUGUGUAAGUAAAUAUGCACGUCUUGACGGUACCUAAUCAGAAAGCCACGGCUAACUACGUG